AAAUUGAAGAGUUUGAUCAUGGCUCAGAUUGAACGCUGGCGGCAGGCCUAACACAUGCAAGUCGAGCGGUAGCACAGAGAGCUUGCUCGGGUAGCGGACGGGUAAAUGUCUGGAAACGCCUGAUGGAGGAUAACUACUGAAACGGUAGCUAAUAUAAUGUCGAAGACCAGUGGGGACCUUCGCCCUUGCCAUCAGAUGUACCAGAUGGGAUUAGUAUAGGUGGGUAACGGCUCACCAGGCGACGAUCCUAGCUGGUCUGAAGGAUGACCACUGGAACUGAGACGGUCCGACUCCACGGAGGCAGCAGUGGGGUAUUGCAAAAAGCCUGAGGACGCCGCGUGUGAAGAAGGCCUUCGGGUUGUACACUUCAGCGGAGAAGGCGUUAAGGUUAAUAACCUUGCGAUUUUACCCGCAAGAAUCAUUAACUCCGCCAGCAGCCGCGGUAAUACGAGGUGCAGCAAUCGGAAUUACUGGGCGGCGCACGGCGGUCAUCAAGUCCUGAAAUCCGUCAACCUGGGAACUGCAUUCGAAACUGGCAGGCCAAGUCCUAGAGGGGUAAAUUCCUAGCGUUGAAAUGUAGAUCUGGAGAAUACCGGUGGAGGCGCCCCCGACAAGACUGACGCUCAGGUGGAGCGUGGGGAAUUAGAUACCGGUAGUCCACGCCGUAAACGAUGUCGAUUUGGAGGUCCUUGAGGCGUGGUUUCCGGAUAACGCGUUAAAUCGACCGCCCGGGAGUACGCUGGUUAAAAAAUAUGACGGGCCCGCAUGCGGUGGAGCAUGGUUUAACGAUGCGGAGAACCCACCGUCUUGACAUCCACGAACUUUCCGAGAUGGAUUGGUGCCUUCGAACUGUGAACAGGUGCUGCAUGGCUGUCGUCAGCUGUGUUGUGAAAUGUUGGUUAUCCAACGAGCGCAACCUUAUCCUUGUUGCCAGCGGUUGGGCGGGAAUCAGGAGUGCCAGUGAUAAACUGAGAGGGGAUGACGUCCAUCGGCCCUUACGACCGGGCUACACGCUACAAUGGCAUAUACAAAGAGAAGCGACUGCGAUAAGCGACCCAUAGUAUGUCGUAGUCCGGAUUGGAGUUGCAACUGACUCCAUGAAGUCGGAAUCCUAGUAAUCGUAGAUCAGAAUGCUACGGUGAAUACGUUCGGCUUUCACCGCCGCCCGUCACACCAUGGGUGGGUUGCAAAAAGUAGUAGCUUAACCUUCGGGAGGCGCUACCACUUUGUGAUCAUCAGUGAAGUCGAUCACAGUAAUCCGUAGGAACCUGCGGUUGAUCCCUCCUUACCUUAAAGA
Molecule: ribosomal RNA, 1297 nt
Filed under: Klebsiella pneumoniae
Lineage: Bacteria; Pseudomonadati; Pseudomonadota; Gammaproteobacteria; Enterobacterales; Enterobacteriaceae
Description: bacterial SSU rRNA
Rfam family: Bacterial small subunit ribosomal RNA
Source: RNAcentral